CAUGCAAGUCGUACGCACUGGCCCAACUGAUUGAUGGUGCUUGCACCUGAUUGACGAUGGAUCACCAGUGAGUGGCGGACGGGUGAGUAACACGUAGGUAACCUGCCCCGGAGCGGGGGAUAACAUUUGGAAACAGAUGCUAAUACCGCAUAACAACAAAAGCCACAUGGCUUUUGUUUGAAAGAUGGCUUUGGCUAUCACUCCGGGAUGGACCUGCGGUGCAUUAGCUAGUUGGUAAGGUAACGGCUUACCAAGGCGAUGAUGCAUAGCCGAGUUGAGAGACUGAUCGGCCACAAUGGAACUGAGACACGGUCCAUACUCCUACGGGAGGCAGCAGUAGGGAAUCUUCCACAAUGGGCGCAAGCCUGAUGGAGCAACACCGCGUGAGUGAAGAAGGGUUUCGGCUCGUAAAGCUCUGUUGUUGGAGAAGAACGUGCGUGAGAGUAACUGUUCACGCAGUGACGGUAUCCAACCAGAAAGUCACGGCUAACUACGUGCCAGCAGCCGCGGUAAUACGUAGGUGGCAAGCGUUAUCCGGAUUUAUUGGGCGUAAAGCGAGCGCAGGCGGUUGCUUAGGUCUGAUGUGAAAGCCUUCGGCUUAACCGAAAAAGUGCAUCGGAAACCGGGCGACUUGAGUGCAGAAGAGGACAGUGGAACCCAUGUGUAGCGGUGGAAUGCGUAGAUAUAUGGAAGAACACCAGUGGCGAAGGCGGCUGUCUGGUCUGCAACUGACGCUGAGGCUCGAAAGCAUGGGUAGCGAACAGGAUUAGAUACCUGGUAGUCCAUGCCGUAAACGAUGAGUGCUAGGUGUUGGAGGGUUUCCGCCCUUCAGUGCCGGAGCUAACGCAUUAAGCACUCCGCCUGGGGAGUACGACCGCAAGGUUGAAACUCAAAGGAAUUGACGGGGGCCCGCACAAGCGGUGGAGCAUGUGGUUUAAUUCGAAGCUACGCGAAGAACCUUACCAGGUCUUGACAUCUUGCGCUAACCUUAGAGAUAAGGCGUUCCCUUCGGGGACGCAAUGACAGGUGGUGCAUGGUCGUCGUCAGCUCGUGUCGUGAGAUGUUGGGUUAAGUCCCGCAACGAGCGCAACCCUUGUUACUAGUUGCCAGCAUUAAGUUGGGCACUCUAGUGAGACUGCCGGUGACAAACCGGAGGAAGGUGGGGACGACGUCAGAUCAUCAUGCCCCUUAUGACCUGGGCUACACACGUGCUACAAUGGACGGUACAACGAGUCGCAAGCUCGCGAGAGUAAGCUAAUCUCUUAAAGCCGUUCUCAGUUCGGACUGUAGGCUGCAACUCGCCUACACGAAGUCGGAAUCGCUAGUAAUCGCGGAUCAGCAUGCCGCGGUGAAUACGUUCCCGGGCCUUGUACACACCGCCCGUCACACCAUGGGAGUUUGUAACGCCCAAAGUCGGUGGCCUAACCUUUAUGGAGGGAGCCGCCUAAGGCGGGACAGAUGACUGGGGUGAAGUC
This 1475-nucleotide ribosomal RNA is filed under the name Limosilactobacillus reuteri. RNAcentral describes it as "Lactobacillus reuteri 16S ribosomal RNA". It matches the Rfam family "Bacterial small subunit ribosomal RNA". The record is from RNAcentral. Lineage: Bacteria; Bacillati; Bacillota; Bacilli; Lactobacillales; Lactobacillaceae.